Molecule: unclassified non-coding RNA, 21 nt
Filed under: Mus musculus (house mouse)
Lineage: Eukaryota; Metazoa; Chordata; Mammalia; Rodentia; Muridae
Description: oocyte_clustered_small_RNA729
Source: RNAcentral
CAGUCUCUGGAGCUAGUUGUU